This 115-nucleotide unclassified non-coding RNA is filed under the name soil metagenome. Its description in RNAcentral is "partial internal transcribed spacer 1". The record is from RNAcentral.
AAGAAUUUAAAGAGUGCACUUCAUUGUGGCUCGACAUUUUCUACCAUUCACCCUAGUGCACCGUAAUACCUUUUUUAUAGACUAAAUGUAAUGGAUGUAACACUAUCUAAGAACU